RNAcentral lists this transfer RNA (67 nucleotides) under Tricula hortensis. Its description in RNAcentral is "tRNA-Lys". The record is from RNAcentral. Lineage: Eukaryota; Metazoa; Mollusca; Gastropoda; Littorinimorpha; Pomatiopsidae.
UCCUAAAUGACCGAGAAUAAGUAUUAGACUUUUAAUUUAAUUACGGUAAUUUAUUUACCUUUAGGAA